UGCGCGCACCCGCCGCCGACGCCGCGGCGCUCUCCGGAGCCGGCAGCGUGCGCGCUCCCGUCGCCGGCGCGCUGAAGCGUGGGAAGGUGCCGCGGUGACCUGGCUCUGCGGCCGGGGCGCGUAGAGUUCUCAGGUUUGGCCUCAGAUAAAUUCUUCCAAGGUCUAGACCAAGAGUGAGGAGCAGACAAGCCCAACCGAUGUGAACACCAAGCCUGGUUGUCCAGUGUCAUCUUCGCUGGGAAUUAAGAAACAACUAAAAUAUCCUCCAAAGGGUGGUGGUCAAACCACGUGUGGCGCGUCUACACCCCGGAUGUGACUCCGCAGCGAUGAAAGAAGCCACUGACUCACAGGGCACCGGUGCUCUCGGGAUGAUGCUGCAUGGAAAGGCCACUCCCAGAGGUCACAUGCAUAAAGGAUGAUUCCGUCCGUUUGGCAAAAUGACCAAAUCGUGGAGCCAGACAGAGACUAGUGCUGGUCAUAUGAAUCCACGUGGGAUAAGAUGACACAGAGCCAUGAGCACACAGCACACCAGUGUCAGCAGCCUCUUGGUUUGGCCAUUGUCCUGUAAUUAGGGCGCCCGUGAUUACACUGGGCCACUCGGAUAAUCCAAAGAUACUCACCCCGUCUCGAGAUCUCUAACCACACCUGCAAAGUCACUUUUGCCAGCCAAGGCUCUAAGCAGCAGUGAGCCUGAAGGAAAAUCCAGAAACACGCAGGCCUUGUUCAGAGCUCUCCGUGUGCAGCCAGACCCCACAGCAGUCAGCUGUAACUCCAACAAGAUCUAAGCAGGUGGACAAGUGUUCACUGUCGAUGAGGAGUGGCUAACCCUGGGAGGGCAGUCCUCCAGGGUCACGAGGCCCCAGAUGUCAAAGUAUCAGAACACAGAGGAUAAAAGAUACAGUUAAUACAGAGAACUGAGGCCUCUGGCCAACAACCAGAAGAGGGUGGCAUCUUGGAAAUGGCCCCUCCAGCCACGGUUGAGCCUUCAGAUGAGAACCAUCUUGACUGCAAGCUCCUAAGAGACCCUGAGGGAGAACCACCAGGCUAAGCCAUUCCCACAUUUCUGACUCGCAGACACCGAGAUACUAAAUGUUCAUCAUUUGAAGUCACUAGAUGUUGGGGUAACUUGCCAGGCAGCAAUACGGCACUAGGACAGAUCUGGUCUGUGCAGCGUGAACAAGGCCAGGAUCGUGGGUCUGGCACCAGGCAAAGCUGUCAAGCUGGAUCCUAGCACUGCCAUUUACGCUACUCAGACCCUGAUACACAAGCUCUCCAGAGAAGAUUCCAGAGCCAAUUUCUAGUCAGUUCCAGAGGUUUCCAGAUGGAGGUGCUGGUGGGGCUGGAGGGCUGUGUGUCUGUGUCUGCUCUGCUACAAAGACAUUCACCUGGUUUGAAUUUUCUUAAAUGUUUAUUCUUGAGAGAGAGAGAGAGAGAACAAGCAGGGGAGGGGCAGAGAGAGAGGGAGACACAGAAUCCGAAGCAGGCUCCCGGCUCCGAGCUGUCAGCACAGAGUCCGAUGCGGGGCUCGAACCCACGAACCGUGAGAUCAUGACCUGAGCCGAAGUCGGACGCUCAACUGACUGAGCCACCCAGGCGCCCCUGGUUUGAAGGCCAGCGACUGAGAAGGGGCCGUGGUGCCCACGGUGCCCUCUCAACCCAGGGGCUAAGUGAGAUGUAGCCACACCUCCAGGCCUGCGCAGGGCCCGGGGCCACCUUGGAGUCACGUGGGCACCCAAGGCCUGAAGCCUUUUCUUUCAUGGGAGUCAUUUUCAGAACUGCCCCACUCCCCCUCCACCCCCACUGGUCACAGCGGGGUCUGACAAAGGGGCAGUGGUGUGUUCGUGAACCCUCAUCUGUCACACUCAUGAAGCCACCCGAGGUCCCCGUGCCUGGCUGGGAGCGGGCACGCGGAGAGAGAGUGUGACGACGCGAUGGGUUGGACCUACUGUAGCUUUUUAAAGUUCUACAGAAAAGACCACGUGGACAAGUCACGGUCACGGUUUGAACCACGCACCAAGUGCCCACACGCGCUGAGCGCUCAGGUUGCCGCGGGCACUCCGUCACCCCCUCUCUGUCACUGUCUUCUCAGACACUCGAGAGUAGUUGGGGGGUUUCUUCCUGGCUCAGAAUCCAGGUGAGGAACAGACAUCCCAUCGAGCUGCCGUGAAUCUUCAGUCUCAUUUGAUCACAAAGGCCGUUUUGAAAAGACGAUCGGACAGCCGGCCAGAGUGCGGGAGGCCCUUCCAGAACCGCCGCGCGUGCCCGCCCGCGUGGUCUUUCCAGUCGCCUCACCUCCCCCCACCGCCGGACGCUGUUUGCUCACAAGUUGAGACGUGGCUGCGUGUGCCUCGCAUUGAUGUGCUUUUUCCCUUCAAGUAGUGUCAGGUCUAGAAGAAAAACUGUACCUUUCUCCCGUGAAAGUCUGUGUCCAGCACGAGCAGGGAAAGAGGCCGGCGGCCGAGUGAAGGAGUCCUUCCUCCGGCCGUGGAAGAAGCAGCGCCCGCCUCCGUUCCCCACCCCCCGGAGGCUUUGGGGACCGCGAAGAAAACGCUUUUCAUCGUUCAGCUGUGGUUCUGCGCCUGGGGGGAGAAGAUGUCCCAGAAGCCCCAUUCGAACCCGGCACCUCCGGUUCCCGGGGCGUCGCCCAGAAAGGUGCCACCGCCGCGACCGGCCUUGCUCCCCCUGUUGGGCGGAUCCGGCGUGACUUCCCACCCGCUCCCUCGCUGCUCGAGUCAGACCUCCGUGGGGCCACCGGCAGGUGCGCCGUCCAUCCCGCGGUUCUCCCCCGUCGGCCCCUCGAGCCCCGUUUUGUGCCUGUCCUGGGGCGCGUGAGGUCGUCUGCCACAGAGCCUGGGGACUGUGGGUUCUCCUCAGCGGUGCCCCCUUUCAGGUGCACGGAGCCUCCCCCACCUCUGCAUCCCUGAAAAAUGUAGGAAAUGCUCUUGACCGGUUCACGAAGUAAGCCAGGGUCCUGCUCGAGGGAGCAACACGUUCCCAACCAGCAGACGACCGGAGCCGAGUGUCCUUCCCAACAAGGGAUUCUAUCAGAAGUUCCUCCUGCCCUGACAACCUCAUUUAAAAGCAAGACAGACCUUAGCUACAAGCUAUUGAAUGUCACAGCACGACGCCUUUCAAGUUUGAGGGAGCCUUUGUAUCCUUGUGUUACGAACAGAAGUUAAUGCGGACCACUCCGCCUUCCAAAAAAUCUCUUCUCUCCUUCAGGACUUUGCCUCCAGGCAGGAGCUGGGGGCUGGCUAGUGGACUAAACCUAACCUGGUUCUGUAUUCGUGAGUUUUUCUAACAGUGGUAAAAUACCCACCACAUGAAAUUUACCAUUUUAACCA
Molecule: long non-coding RNA, 3344 nt
Organism: Felis catus (domestic cat)
Lineage: Eukaryota; Metazoa; Chordata; Mammalia; Carnivora; Felidae
Exons: 7
Source: RefSeq, a predicted model, not a curated record